GCACAGUGCAAAGGCCUUGGGGUCAAUCCCUAGUAACCCGCGCGCGCGUGCACACACAACUUCAAAAAAAAGAGUACCCAAAGCAGGGAUUUGUCUAUGUUCCUCUGGCUAAUCCUUCAGUAACAAGCAGAGGCCUAGGGCCUUCGUGGAUGCCCAUUUGAGCUGGCCAAGGAAGAGCUCCUUUUAACAAGAGAGUAUCAGAAGUCCAAGCCUGGCAUCUUCCAACCUUUAUCCUGAAUCCUGCCUGCACUCAAGCCUGUCCAGUUGCAUCAGUGGAAGUUACUAUGACAACCAAACCUACAGGCAGCCAAUAACUGGAAAACAGAUGCCCACAGUACUGGACAGUAUGUAGAAAAGGGCAAGAGCAGAGGAAGAAGGGCAAAGCUCAAACCUUGUGAAGGCACAGCCUCCCACUUUACCAAUGUCUUAUGUCUUCUGGCUUUGGGGGAGUUUCAGCCUCUUCCCUGACCAAGGGACUACUUCUCUAAGCCACUCCGACUUCCCACCAUACUCCUGGAACCUGCUCAUCACCUGACCACCUCUGCAUGGAAAACCCUCCUAGGAUUUAGUACCACCAGUUCCAGCUUAGAAGUGCUCCUACCCAGGCAUGGUGGUGCACACCUGUAAUCCCAGCACUUGGGAGGCUGAAGAAGGGUCACCAAGAGUUUGAAGCCAGCCUGGGAUACACAGUGAGACCUUGUCUCAAAAGAAAAACAAAAAAAUGCUCAUGAAUUACUAGUUGGCAGGAGGAAUUGGGGAAGCGAGUCAUUCUUUGGCCUCACACAAGCCGUCCUUUCUACACAGUGGCUCUACCAUGAAGCCACUGCCUUUGGUGCAAGAGGUCUGACCUAUUUUAACAAUAAUACAUGCUCGAGGAGCAGUUAAUGUCAA
Chinchilla lanigera (long-tailed chinchilla) is the source of this 891-nucleotide long non-coding RNA. RefSeq lists it as uncharacterized. The record is from RefSeq and is a predicted model, not a curated record. The transcript has 2 exons. Lineage: Eukaryota; Metazoa; Chordata; Mammalia; Rodentia; Chinchillidae.